Molecule: ribosomal RNA, 377 nt
Filed under: uncultured bacterium
Lineage: Bacteria
Description: bacterial SSU rRNA
Rfam family: Bacterial small subunit ribosomal RNA
Source: RNAcentral
AGGGGGCAGCAAUGUCACCGGCGAACGGGUGCGUAACGCGUAUGCAACCUGGCCAUAUCAGGGGGAUAGCCCUAGGAAACUGGGAUUAAUACCGCAUAAUACUUUUACUGGCAUCAGUGGAGGUUGAAAGAUUUAUUGGAUAUGGAUGGGCAUGCGUAGGAUUAGCUAGUUGGUGGGGUAACGGCUCACCAAGGCGAUGAUCCUUAGGGGCUCUGAGAGGAGUAUCCCCCACACUGGCACUGAGAUACGGGCCAGACUCCUACGGGAGGCAGCAGUAGGGAAUAUUGGGCAAUGGAGGCAACUCUGACCCAGCCAUGCCGCGUGCAGGAAGACGGUCCUCUGGAUUGUAAACUGCUUUUGAAUGGGAAGAACAGCAU